CUUGAACAACCUAUUUAUAACGUGUCUGGUUGAGUCAGCAGAGCUUGGUGUUAGGAAAAGGCUGUAUUCCCUCUUUAACCACGUGAGGGAGACUGCAGAAAAUUAGAUAAUUGCUUGGUUGUGUGUAUAAUACUGCACUGUGCAUGUCCUAGUUGUGUUUGGAUUUACUAACACUUGUUAUUCAAAAUGCAAAAACAUAGAAGCAAUAUUGCACUGUUGCCCUUGAUGUUUAAAACAUGCUUUUUUUUCUCCUUCAUGAUCAAGUGUACAAGAGGGCUCACCAGAUCUGUGGGAUUUGCAAGAUCUUCCAAACGCAUCUGGGAGGUUUUCAAUAAGAAAUUCCUACUUGCUUUUCCCUCAGCUUAAUUGGUGUGACUGUGUAGAGGGGACCUGGAAGAAGGAUUAAUGAAACUGGACGAAAUACUGCAGGUUAUUAUGACAAGGACUGAAUGGACAUGAAGUGGCACCCCUUCACGAUUCACAGCCUGGUGUGUUCUGAGCAGAAAUAUCUCCACAUCUUUCUGAAAAAAGCCAGUGAUGCUGCUUGCCUGCCUCCUUCAAAGCGCUUCUUACUGCAGAGGAUCUCUUCAGCUCAGCACCCAUUUGUUUGCACCUUCCAGCCCCUGGGGAGCUGCACCAAAUGCAGCAGGUCCUCACCUUCAGAGCGCACAUUCUCUCUAAUCUUGACAGAAAAUGGGUUUCCCUUUCUUACAGGAGAGGUGAAGCAACUGUAAGGAGGAGAUAAUACUGAGCAGUGUAAACCUCUGGAGCAUCUCUGAAGGACAAAGCUUUCACAAAAAUCACAUCACAAGCUGCUGUUGUUAAUUUGCCAUUUCUACUUUAAUAGCUGCACUUUAACAAGGGGUAUUUGCUUUGUAAGAGUUGCUAACACUAGGCCAGUAAAAACUACAUAACCUCUGCACUUUGCUAAUUAUUUGAAAUGCCCUUGGAAGGUUGCUUGUGGUUUUUCUCUCAUUUUUUUUUUCCAUUUUAUUUUACACUUUUUUUUAAAAGGAAAAUAGACAAAC
This 1028-nucleotide long non-coding RNA is filed under the name Gallus gallus (chicken). RNAcentral's name for it is "lncRNA (ENSGALG00010006676.1)". The record is from RNAcentral. Lineage: Eukaryota; Metazoa; Chordata; Aves; Galliformes; Phasianidae.